CUUAAAUUUAAAUAAAACAAAAAGAAAAAAAAAUCUAAUUACAAUCAUGCUCCAAAAUAUUUUAAAAAAUGCACAGGACAGGACAACCAGGACGGAAGCCUGACAUAACAAAUAAAUUAUGAAAAAAAAUUAGAAAUUAAAAAAUAAACAAAUUCUUUCUUUCCCCUCCACCACCACUGCACGCAUAUCCAGUUGCUUCUGAUCCUUCAGGUCUCCCAAACACUGGACCUUUUCAUCCUCCUCCAUGGCACUGGGGCUCCUUAAAUCACAAUUAACCAAAGGGAAUCGGAAUGGCGCAUUCGAACAAAAAGAUUCGUAAUAGGAACGAAAUAAUGGGCCAAUGUUAAUAAUACAUUAAUACUCAAGCUCUUGGGCUAAAAAGUUUUAUCAGUAAUGCAGUACUGAAAAGCUUUGUAUUCGUGAGUACGAAUUAAUUGAUCUUAAAUCGGCAUCUUCAAGAGAAGAAAGAAGAGGAUGUGAAAGGGAUGAAAUUUUCUGGGGUGAAUGAAUGAGAAAUGGAGGAGGAAAGAGCGCGAGUAGCGGUGGAGUGAUUGGAGUCUGUAAGAAAAGGGCGAAGAGCGGUUUUACGACGGGCGAAGAACCAGUCGAGAAGGGUGG
Molecule: long non-coding RNA, 618 nt
Filed under: Olea europaea subsp. europaea
Lineage: Eukaryota; Viridiplantae; Streptophyta; Magnoliopsida; Lamiales; Oleaceae
Source: RNAcentral